Molecule: long non-coding RNA, 391 nt
Organism: Mytilus californianus (California mussel)
Lineage: Eukaryota; Metazoa; Mollusca; Bivalvia; Mytilida; Mytilidae
Exons: 2
Source: RefSeq, a predicted model, not a curated record
UCUAAGUUCAUAUAAGUGGAACUUUGGACUGCUGUUAUAUAUUUAACAUUUUAUUUGUUUUAAUAAUGGAAUAGUGAUGUCAUAUAGACCUCAGACGGGGAGUGUUCUGGAACUCAUUCAUCAUUUGUUCUUCAUGUGAUCAUCAUUUUAUAUUGUUUAUGUUUCAUUGCGUACAUCACUUUAUAUGCUCCAGUUUUAGGAGUUUUAUACAGGACAGUGUAGGAACCCAUGUUACUUUCCCCUCUCUUCUGAGUGACGAAAACUGCUCAGCAGGCCGUGUGCACAACUGCAAGGAACAUUCAGCGGACACGUUGUCCAAAGGAACAAUUCGUGGCUAACCACAGCUUUUUCACCAUUUGGAUUGGUAGUGAAAUAAAAGUCAGCUCCUGAU